GCUUGCUCCUCUGGAUUAGUGGCGAACGGGUGAGUAACACGUGAGCAAUGUGCCCUUGACUCUGGAAUAAGCGCUGGAAACGGCGUCUAAUACCGGAUACGACCCUCGGAGGCAUCUCCAGGGGGUGGAAAGAACUUCGGUCAAGGAUCAGCUCACGGCCUAUCAGUUAGUUGGUGAGGUAAUGGCUCACCAAGACGACGACGGGUAGCCGGCCUGAGAGGGUGACCGGCCACACUGGGACUGAGACACGGCCCAGACUCCUACGGGAGGCAGCAGUGGGGAAUAUUGCACAAUGGGCGCAAGCCUGAUGCAGCAACGCCGCGUGAGGGACGACGGCCUUCGGGUUGUAAACCUCUUUUAGCAGGGAAGAAGCGAAAGUGACGGUACCUGCAGAAAAAGCACCGGCUAACUACGUGCCAGCAGCCGCGGUAAUACGUAGGGUGCAAGCGUUGUCCGGAAUUAUUGGGCGUAAAGAGCUCGUAGGCGGUUUGUCACGUCUGCUGUGAAAUCCCGAGGCUCAACCUCGGGCUUGCAGUGGGUACGGGCAGACUAGAGUGCGGUAGGGGAGAUUGGAAUUCCUGGUGUAGCGGUGGAAUGCGCAGAUAUCAGGAGGAACACCGAUGGCGAAGGCAGAUCUCUGGGCCGUAACUGACGCUGAGGAGCGAAAGCAUGGGGAGCAAACAGGCUUAGAUACCCUGGUAGUCCAUGCCGUAAACGUUGGGAACUAGAU
Molecule: ribosomal RNA, 730 nt
Filed under: bacterium SCSIO13164
Lineage: Bacteria
Description: bacterial SSU rRNA
Rfam family: Bacterial small subunit ribosomal RNA
Source: RNAcentral